Molecule: ribosomal RNA, 466 nt
Filed under: uncultured bacterium
Lineage: Bacteria
Description: partial 16S ribosomal RNA
Rfam family: Bacterial small subunit ribosomal RNA
Source: RNAcentral
GAUGAACGCUGGCGGCGUGCUUAACACAUGCAAGUCGAACGGAAAGGCUCCUGCUUGCAGGGGUACUCGAGUGGCGAACGGGUGAGUAACAAGUGGGUGAUCUGCCCUGCACUUCGGGAUAAGCCUGGGAAACUGGGUCUAAUACCGGAUAGGACGAUGGUUUGGAUGCCAUUGUGGAAAGUUUUUUCGGUGUGGGAUGAGCUCGCGGCCUAUCAGCUUGUUGGUGGGGUAAUGGCCUACCAAGGCGUCGACGGGUAGCCGGCCUGAGAGGGUGUACGGCCACAUUGGGACUGAGAUACGGCCCAGACUCCUACGGGAGGCAGCAGUGGGGAAUAUUGCACAAUGGGCGCAAGCCUGAUGCAGCGACGCCGCGUGGGGGAUGACGGCCUUCGGGUUGUAAACUCCUUUCGCUAGGGACGAAGCGCAAGUGACGGUACCUGGAGAAGAAGCACCGGCUAACUACGUG